This 468-nucleotide ribosomal RNA is filed under the name uncultured bacterium. RNAcentral describes it as "partial 16S ribosomal RNA". It matches the Rfam family "Bacterial small subunit ribosomal RNA", at positions 28 to 507 of the family's 1533-position model. The record is from RNAcentral.
GACGAACGCUGGCGGCGUGCUUAACACAUGCAAGUCGAGCGGACAGGCCCUGCUUUUGUUGGUUUCUCGAGUGGCGAACAGGUGAGUGACACAUGUGUAACCUGCCCUUGACUGUGUGGUAACUUCAGGAAACUGGGGCUAAUACCCGGUAUGAGAUACUGCUGCGUAGUGGGGGUUGGAAAGUUUCGGCGGUUGUGGAUGGACUCGCGGCUUAUCAGCUUGAUUGUGGGGUAGGUGAUUACCAAGGGUUUGACGGGUAGCCGGCAUGAGAGGGUGACCGGGGACAAUGGGACUGAGAGACGGCCCAGACUCGUACCGUAGGCAGUAGUGGGGAACCUUGCACAACGGGCGGAAGCCUGUGGCAACAAUGUUGCGUGCGGGAUGACGUCCUUUGGGUUGUAAACCGCUUUCGCCGUUGAUGAAGCGUGAGUGACGGUAAUGGGUAAAGAAGCACCGGCUAACUACGUG